Molecule: ribosomal RNA, 2916 nt
Organism: Desulfitobacterium metallireducens DSM 15288
Lineage: Bacteria; Bacillati; Bacillota; Clostridia; Eubacteriales; Desulfitobacteriaceae
Rfam family: Bacterial large subunit ribosomal RNA
Source: Rfam
GGUCAAGCUACUAAGGGCGUACGGUGGAUGCCUAGGCGCUAAGAGUCGAAGAAGGGCGCGGUUAACAGCGAAAUGCCACGGGGAGCAGUAAGCAUGCAUUGAUCCGUGGAUACCCGAAUGGGGCAACCCCAUUGGAGUUAUAUCCAAUGAUCUUUAACUGAAUAGAUAGGUUAAAGAGGACAACCCGGGGAACUGAAACAUCUAAGUACCCGGAGGAAGAGAAAGAAUAAUCGAUUCCCUGAGUAGCGGCGAGCGAAACGGGAAGAGCCCAAACCAAGCUCUUCGGAGCUUGGGGUUGUAGGACCCUCUAUUAAGCAUUAAUUCUUAGCUGAAGAAAUCUGGAAAGAUUCAGCAAAGAAGGUAACACUCCUGUAAGCGAAAAGAAGAAAUGCUGUGAGGGUAUCCUGAGUACCGCGGGACACGAGAAACCCCGUGGGAAACCGGGAGGACCACCUCCCAAGGCUAAAUACUCCUUAGCGACCGAUAGUGAACCAGUACCGUGAGGGAAAGGUGAAAAGCACCCCGGGAGGGGAGUGAAAAAGAACCUGAAACCGUACGCUUACAAGCAGUCAAAGCACCCUUGAGGUGUGAUGGCGUGCCUUUUGUAGAAUGAACCGGCGAGUUACGGUAUGUAGCGAGGUUAAAGCGAGAAGCUGGAGCCGAAGCGAAAGCGAGUCUGAAAAGGGCGACAAGUUACAUGCUGUAGACCCGAAACCGUGUGAUCUACCCAUGGUCAGGGUGAAGGUGGGGUAAAACCUACUGGAGGCCCGAACUCACUGUCGUUGAAAAGGCAAGGGAUGAACUGUGGGUAGGGGUGAAAUGCCAAUCGAACACGGAGAUAGCUGGUUCUCCCCGAAAUAGCUUUAGGGCUAGCCUCAAUUGAUGAUUCUUGGCGGUAAAGCACUGAAUAGGCUAGGGGCCUUACCGGGUUACCGAACCUUAUCAAACUCUGAAUGCCAAGAAUUUAGAUUGGGAGUCAGACUGUGGGGGAUAAGCUUCAUAGUCAAAAGGGAAACAGCCCAGACCAUCAGCUAAGGUCCCAAAGUAUACGCUAAGUGGAAAAGGAUGUGGAAUUGCACAGACAACCAGGAUGUUGGCUCAGAAGCAGCCACCAUUUAAAGAGUGCGUAAUAGCUCACUGGUCGAGUGGUUCUGCGCCGAAAAUGUAACGGGGCUCAAGCGUAUCACCGAAGCUAUGGCUUUACAGUUUACUGUAAGGGGUAGGGGAGCGUUCCAAGGUCAGCGAAGUUCAACUGGAAGGUUGGGUGGAGAGCUUGGAAGUGAGAAUGCCGGUAUGAGUAUGCGAAAAGGUGAGUGAGAAUCUCACCCGCCGAAAAUCUAAGGUUUCCUGGGGAAGGCUCGUCCGCCCAGGGUCAGUCGGGACCUAAGCCGAGGCCGAAAGGCGUAGGUGAUGGACAACUGGUGGAUAUUCCAGUACCUCUCUUAAACGUUAUUAGCGAUGGGGUGACACAGAAGGAUAGGUUAAGCGUGCCGUUGGUUGAGCACGCCCAAGCCCGUAGGGUGUGAGGCAGGUAAAUCCGUCUUACGCGUUGCCUGAAAGGUAAUGGGGAGCGAAAAUAAGUAGCGAAGUAACCGACUCCAAGCUGUCAAGAAAAGCCUCUAGUGAGUGAGAGAGAGCCCGUACCGCAAACCGACACAGGUAGAUAAGGAGAGAAUCCUAAGGCGCGCGAGAAAACCCUCGUUAAGGAACUCGGCAAAAUAGCCCCGUAACUUCGGGAGAAGGGGCGCUCUUCGCAAGAAGAGCCGCAGAGAAAUGGUCCAGGCGACUGUUUAACAAAAACACAGGUUCCUGCCAAUCUAGAAAAGAGAAGUAUAGGAGCUGACGCCUGCCCGGUGCUGGAAGGUUAAGAGGAGAGGUUAGCCGCAAGGCGAAGCUUUGAAUUGAAGCCCCAGUAAACGGCGGCCGUAACUAUAACGGUCCUAAGGUAGCGAAAUUCCUUGUCAGGUAAGUUCUGACCCGCACGAAAGGCGUAACGAUCUGGACACUGUCUCAACGAGGGACUCGGCGAAAUUGUAAUACCCGUGAAGAUGCGGGUUACCUGCGACAGGACAGAAAGACCCCAUGGAGCUUUACUGUAGCUUGACAUUGGAUUUUGGUAUAAAAUGUACAGGAUAGGUGGGAGACUAAGAAGCUAGGGCGCCAGCCUUGGUUGAGUCGCCGGUGGGAUACCACUCUUUUUGUACUGAAAUUCUAACUUAGACCCCUGAAUCGGGGUUGAGGACCGUGUCAGGUGGGCAGUUUGACUGGGGCGGUCGCCUCCUAAAGAGUAACGGAGGCGCCCAAAGGUUCCCUCAGCGCGGAUGGAAAUCGCGCGAAGAGUGUAAAGGCAAAAGGGAGCUUGACUGCGAGACCAACAAGUCGAGCAGGGACGAAAGUCGGGCUUAGUGAUCCGGUGGUACCGAGUGGAAGGGCCAUCGCUCAACGGAUAAAAGCUACCCUGGGGAUAACAGGCUUAUCUCCCCCAAGAGUCCAUAUCGACGGGGAGGUUUGGCACCUCGAUGUCGGCUCAUCGCAUCCUGGAGCUGUAGUAGGUCCCAAGGGUUGGGCUGUUCGCCCAUUAAAGCGGUACGUGAGCUGGGUUCAGAACGUCGUGAGACAGUUCGGUCCCUAUCCGUCGCAGGCGCAGGAAAUUUGAGGGGAGCUGACCCUAGUACGAGAGGACCGGGUUGGACGGAUCACUGGUGUACCAGUUGUCUCGCCAGAGGCAUAGCUGGGUAGCUAUAUCCGGAUCGGAUAAGCGCUGAAAGCAUCUAAGCGCGAAACCGACCUCAAGAUGAGAUUUCCCACAGCACAAGCUGGUAAGACCCCUGAAAGAUGAUCAGGUAGAUAGGCCCAAUGUGGAAGCGCGGUGACGUGUGGAGCUGACGGGUACUAAUCGGUCGAGGGCUUGACCUA